GACGAUGGUGCAGGUCGUCAUCAUGGCGGUGGUGUAGGGAUGGGGAGUCUAUCACAACCAACAAAGAAUAGUGUGGGAGGGGCCUUGCGAUCCAAGUGGCCUGAUCGGGAGAUAGGGUUUGGGGGACGAGUAGGAAACCAACGGUCUAGUCCACGACGGCCUCAAGGGUCCUUAUAAUUCAUGCAUGACCACCACUAAUAGGAACGAGAGAGGGAGAGGAGGAGGAGAGCCAUCUGAGGAGGAGAAGAUCAUGGG
RNAcentral lists this long non-coding RNA (255 nucleotides) under Elaeis guineensis (African oil palm). Its description in RNAcentral is "long non-coding RNA (EGUI_LNC015202)". Lineage: Eukaryota; Viridiplantae; Streptophyta; Magnoliopsida; Arecales; Arecaceae. The record is from RNAcentral.